UUUAUUGGAGAGUUUGAUCCUGGCUCAGGAUGAACGCUGGCGGCGUGCCUAAUACAUGCAAGUCGAGCGAAUGGAUUGAGAGCUUGCUCUCAAGAAGUUAGCGGCGGACGGGUGAGUAACACGUGGGUAACCUGCCCAUAAGACUGGGAUAACUCCGGGAAACCGGGGCUAAUACCGGAUAACAUUUUGAACUGCAUGGUUCGAAAUUGAAAGGCGGCUUCGGCUGUCACUUAUGGAUGGACCCGCGUCGCAUUAGCUAGUUGGUGAGGUA
Molecule: ribosomal RNA, 271 nt
Filed under: Bacillus cereus
Lineage: Bacteria; Bacillati; Bacillota; Bacilli; Caryophanales; Bacillaceae
Also listed under: 1 other name
Description: partial 16S ribosomal RNA
Rfam family: Bacterial small subunit ribosomal RNA
Source: RNAcentral